This 312-nucleotide ribosomal RNA is filed under the name Escherichia coli. RNAcentral's name for it is "partial 23S ribosomal RNA". It matches the Rfam family "Bacterial large subunit ribosomal RNA", at positions 1214 to 1529 of the family's 2925-position model. Lineage: Bacteria; Pseudomonadati; Pseudomonadota; Gammaproteobacteria; Enterobacterales; Enterobacteriaceae. The record is from RNAcentral.
CUAUGUGUUGUUGGGUAGGGGAGCGUUCUGUAAGCCUGUGAAGGUGUACUGUGAGGUAUGCUGGAGGUAUCAGAAGUGCGAAUGCUGACAUAAGUAACGAUAAAGCGGGUGAAAAGCCCGCUCGCCGGAAGACCAAGGGUUCCUGUCCAACGUUAAUCGGGGCAGGGUGAGUCGACCCCUAAGGCGAGGCCGAAAGGCGUAGUCGAUGGGAAACAGGUUAAUAUUCCUGUACUUGGUGUUACUGCGAAGGGGGGACGGAGAAGGCUAUGUUGGCCGGGCGACGGUUGUCCCGGUUUAAGCGUGUAGGCUGGU